AUUUAUAUCCAAACCAGUGUCCACCAAAGUAGCGUUUAUCCAAUAAGUUUAAAAAAACUCACUUGUACAUAUAUUUUUCAAGCAACACUCACCCUUUAGCAGCAACACCUUACACGUCUAUUUCCGAGAAAACUUUGCCAAAAUGUCACACUCCAAUAUCAAGUUUAUCAUAAUCGUCAUCGUCGUCCUGACCGUGUCGUUGCUAUCCAUGCAGUCCCACGCUAAAGUCAUCACUAAACGCCAAGCUGGAGAUGGGGAGCGGUGCAGGGGAACAUUGACCGGUAUGUAUGUUCCAACGACGGUGUGCAAGGAGACGUGCCGCGGAAUGGAGUUGAUGUCAAAAUGUCCAGGAAGUCAAAAAUGCUGUUCCGUCGUUGAAGACUUUGUUGCUAAUUGGGUACCAGGAGUGCUACCCGAACCCGCUUAAGACCCGAACCCGGCAAAUAAUUUGCAUAGCUAAAUAUAUAUAAUCUGCAUACAUAUUUAACUGACCGAGAUAUCUGUUAUCUUGAUAAGCCCAUAAAAAAAGCAUAUCUGAAUUAAUGCACUGUUGUUCAAAAAAAUAAUUAAUUAAUCUUGAGCAUGCAUGUAUAUAAAUUGCGUAGCAAAUAUGUAUUUAUAACUGGUUGGUGUUCUUUUUAAAUAAAUUUGCAAAUUACU
Molecule: long non-coding RNA, 660 nt
Organism: Folsomia candida
Lineage: Eukaryota; Metazoa; Arthropoda; Collembola; Entomobryomorpha; Isotomidae
Exons: 3
Source: RefSeq, a predicted model, not a curated record